AAAAACCCAUAACUAAUCGCUCAUACAUGCAAGUCGUACGAUGAAGCCCUUCGGGGUGGAUUAGUGGCGAACGGGUGAGUAACACGUGGGCAAUCUGCCCUGCACUCUGGGACAAGCCCUGGAAACGGGGUCUAAUACCGGAUAUGACUGUCCACCGCAUGGUGGAUGGUGUAAAGCUCCGGCGGUGCAGGAUGAGCCCGCGGCCUAUCAGCUUGUUGGUGAGGUAGUGGCUCACCAAGGCGACGACGGGUAGCCGGCCUGAGAGGGCGACCGGCCACACUGGGACUGAGACACGGCCCAGACUCCUACGGGAGGCAGCAGUGGGGAAUAUUGCACAAUGGGCGAAAGCCUGAUGCAGCGACGCCGCGUGAGGGAUGACGGCCUUCGGGUUGUAAACCUCUUUCAGCAGGGAAGAAGCGAAAGUGACGGUACCUGCAGAAGAAGCGCCGGCUAACUACGUGCCAGCAGCCGCGGUAAUACGUAGGGCGCAAGCGUUGUCCGGAAUUAUUGGGCGUAAAGAGCUCGUAGGCGGCUUGUCACGUCGGUUGUGAAAGCCCGGGGCUUAACCCCGGGUCUGCAGUCGAUACGGGCAGGCUAGAGUUCGGUAGGGGAGAUCGGAAUUCCUGGUGUAGCGGUGAAAUGCGCAGAUAUCAGGAGGAACACCGGUGGCGAAGGCGGAUCUCUGGGCCGAUACUGACGCUGAGGAGCGAAAGCGUGGGGAGCGAACAGGAUUAGAUACCCUGGUAGUUCACGCCGUAUACGGUGGGCACUAGGUGUGGGCAACAUUCCACGUUGUCCGUGCCGCAGCUAACGCAUUAAGUGCCCCGCCUGGGGAGUACGGC
RNAcentral lists this ribosomal RNA (842 nucleotides) under Streptomyces sp. DBT39. RNAcentral's name for it is "bacterial SSU rRNA". It matches the Rfam family "Bacterial small subunit ribosomal RNA", at positions 29 to 886 of the family's 1533-position model. The record is from RNAcentral. Lineage: Bacteria; Bacillati; Actinomycetota; Actinomycetes; Kitasatosporales; Streptomycetaceae.